RNAcentral lists this long non-coding RNA (206 nucleotides) under Pelobates cultripes (western spadefoot toad). Lineage: Eukaryota; Metazoa; Chordata; Amphibia; Anura; Pelobatidae. The record is from RNAcentral.
CAGGAAAUCUCUAAGUGGUACUGAUUGAAACAAUUCUGGGUGACCCCCAGUCGUACGUGGAGGCCCACUAAGUGGCAAUAAGUGUACUACCGUACCUGACACCUGUUUGGUACCCCAUAGACCAAAAGAGUGUCCCAACAUUCAUACAGGGGUGACCCCCCUAUGCUGGGUGACCCCCAAGCGAGUAUUACUCCGGUGCUAGUGGC